Amblyraja radiata (thorny skate) is the source of this 203-nucleotide long non-coding RNA. RefSeq lists it as uncharacterized. The transcript is spliced from 3 exons. Lineage: Eukaryota; Metazoa; Chordata; Chondrichthyes; Rajiformes; Rajidae. The record is from RefSeq and is a predicted model, not a curated record.
AGGACCUAUGGGACACAAUUAUUGCAGUACGUAGAUGAUUUAUUACUAUCUGAUAAGUAAGAAAUUGAGUUUAGAAUAAGAAAGAAGGCAUACCAGAAAGGAUUAAAGUGGGAAGCAGAGGGAUAAAUUGAUGAGACUGCUUUAAAAAGAAAAGACACAGAUUAUCCUUUGGGGCACCCAUAAACUGAGAGGACUAAAAAAAU